GGGCGUGUAGCUCAGCUGGUUAGAGCAGGGGACUCAUAAUCCCUCACUCCUCGUACGUUUCCGUACGCGUCUG
Molecule: transfer RNA, 73 nt
Filed under: Actinomycetota bacterium
Lineage: Bacteria; Bacillati; Actinomycetota
Description: Actinobacteria bacterium (freshwater metagenome) tRNA-Met
Rfam family: tRNA
About the family: Transfer RNA (tRNA) molecules are approximately 80 nucleotides in length. Their secondary structure includes four short double-helical elements and three loops (D, anti-codon, and T loops). Further hydrogen bonds mediate the characteristic L-shaped molecular structure. tRNAs have two regions of fundamental functional importance: the anti-codon, which is responsible for specific mRNA codon recognition, and the 3' end, to which the tRNAs corresponding amino acid is attached (by aminoacyl-tRNA synthetases). tRNAs cope with the degeneracy of the genetic code in two manners: having more than one tRNA (with a specific anti-codon) for a particular amino acid; and 'wobble' base-pairing, i.e. permitting non-standard base-pairing at the 3rd anti-codon position.
Source: RNAcentral